UUGCAAAAGAAUACUUAUUCAUUUUUGAGGUAUGAACCCAACAGCUUAGUAGUUAGCUUAUUUUGCA
Molecule: transfer RNA, 67 nt
Filed under: Colus islandicus
Lineage: Eukaryota; Metazoa; Mollusca; Gastropoda; Neogastropoda; Colidae
Description: tRNA-Met
Source: RNAcentral